Molecule: long non-coding RNA, 485 nt
Filed under: Dasypus novemcinctus (nine-banded armadillo)
Lineage: Eukaryota; Metazoa; Chordata; Mammalia; Cingulata; Dasypodidae
Description: lncRNA (ENSDNOG00000051892.1)
Source: RNAcentral
CAGACAAAAGGCAGGCAGCAGCCGGGAAGAGGAAUGGCCACGGUGUACCGAACAUAUCUCACUGUACUCCAGAGAAGGAACCAAGCUGCUUCCAGUCAAGUUACCGCAUGGCAGGGGAUUGUGUUAAAGAUUUGCUGGAGGCAGAGGUAAGCGUGUGUGUUGGGGUAUGGGGGUGGGGAUGAUACUAUAGCAAUACAAAUAAUUUUAAAUGGAAUAUUUGCCCUCCCUGUGUUUAAAAUGCCUUGAGCUGCUCUACUCAAAGGCUAUUUGGACUAUUCCUCUGGCCUAAUCAUCCCCCACAUUACUGGCCACUGGGCCACUGAGGAAUUCAGCUCUUUCCAACCCUAUUUCAUACAACCCUAAAACAACUUCAGACCCAAUUUUACAAAUUCAAAUCUGCCAAGGGCUCAGCUCUACAAAUAAAAGCCUUUCAUUGAACAAAUCUUCUCUCCUUCAAAAAUAUUUACUGUUUGUAAAAACUCAGG